AAUCAUUAUUAGAAUUUUAUAUAAUUAUUCACGAAAUAAAUUGAGCUAAAUACUUAUUUUUCUUGGGCUAUAUAAUUAUAUGUUACAAAAUAUCAUUACUAUAAAUAUUUAGGGGUGAAAGGCCUAUCAAAUUUUAUGAUAUCUUGAUGUAUAUAAAAUAUAUUAAGUAUUUUCAAGUCAACUAUUGAAUGAUUAGGUUCAAUAGACACAUAAUUUUUUAUUUAUAUUUGUUAAUUUUUUUAACUAAAAUUAAUUCUUAAUUUUCAGAAUAUUAAUCAAAUUUUUAUAUGAAAUAAAAUAUACUAUAAAUUAAUAAUUUAAUUUAAUUAUAUAUAAUGUAAUUAUUAGUAACAUAUUAUUAAGCCAAAUUAAAGAAUUCGGCAAAAAUUUUUUCAACUGUUUAUCAAAAACAUAGCUUAUUGAUAUUAUAAUAAGUAGUCCCUGCUCAAUGGUAACUCUUAAUAGCCGCAGUACCUUGACUGUGCAAAGGUAGCAUAAUCAAUUGGCUUAUAAUUGAAGUCUGGAAUGAAUGGGUAACAUGGAAAAAAACUGUUUUAUUUUAGUAAAUCUGAAAUUACUUAUAAAGUGAAAAUACUUUAUUCAAUAUAAUAGACGAGAAGACCCUAGAAAUUUGUAUUUAAUACUUUUGUUGGGGCGACAUGGUAACAUAAAACUUACCUAAAAAAAUAUAAAUCUUAUAAGAUAUAUAAUUUAAAUUACUCUAGGGAUAACAGCAUAAUAUAUAAAAGUUUGUGACCUCGAUGUUGGACUAGGUAAUUAAAUAUUUAAAAGAUAUUUUAAUUUGCUCUGUUCGAGCAUUUUUAGCACCUACAU
RNAcentral lists this ribosomal RNA (834 nucleotides) under Perforatella incarnata. RNAcentral describes it as "Monachoides incarnatus partial large subunit ribosomal RNA". Lineage: Eukaryota; Metazoa; Mollusca; Gastropoda; Stylommatophora; Hygromiidae. The record is from RNAcentral.